GACGAACGCUGGCGGCGUGCUUAACACAUGCAAGUCGAACGCUGAAGCUCAGCUUUUGUUGGGUGGAUGAGUGGCGAACGGGUGAGUAACACGUGAGUAACCUGCCCCCUUCUUUGGGAUAACGCCCGGAAACGGGUGCUAAUACUGGAUAUUCACUGGUCUUCGCAUGGGGGUUGGUGGAAAGGGUUUUUCUGGUGGGGGAUGGGCUCGCGGCCUAUCAGCUUGUUGGUGGGGUGAUGGCCUACCAAGGCUUUGACGGGUAGCCGGCCUGAGAGGGUGACCGGUCACAUUGGGACGGAGAUACGGCCCAGACUCCUACGGGAGGCAGCAGUGGGGAAUAUUGCACAAUGGGCGCAAGCCUGAUGCAGCGAGGCCGCGUGAGGGAUGGAGGCCUCCGGGUUGUGAACCUCUUUCGCUAAUGGUCAAGCCGCAACAAUGGUUGUGGUGAGGGUAGUGGGUAAAGAAGCGACGGCUAACUACGUG
RNAcentral lists this ribosomal RNA (483 nucleotides) under uncultured bacterium. RNAcentral's name for it is "partial 16S ribosomal RNA". It matches the Rfam family "Bacterial small subunit ribosomal RNA", at positions 28 to 507 of the family's 1533-position model. The record is from RNAcentral.